RNAcentral lists this long non-coding RNA (1019 nucleotides) under Mustela putorius furo (domestic ferret). Its description in RNAcentral is "lncRNA (ENSMPUG00000027687.1)". The record is from RNAcentral. Lineage: Eukaryota; Metazoa; Chordata; Mammalia; Carnivora; Mustelidae.
AGGAAGAAAUACCUGAUUUCUGAAAACAGCCUAUAUCCCGAACAGUUUCCUGGAAAUGACACUGCUGGUUAAAUUUUAUAAAGCAUUCCAAGUGUUGAUCAGCAAGUUUUGAUGCUUCCAAGUGCCCAAAGAGGAAAUCCGGCAGCAGAGGUUCCUGGGGGGAUCCCAUCAGAUGCAGGAGCUCACCGGCUCCCCCAGUCAGGGACUUGAUGCUCUUGGCCUCGGCGCUCUUGACCCCAGACCAGCCUCUGUGAAGAGACAGAGCCCGUUUUGCGACCUGUCCUCACACACAGACAAUCGUGGUGCCUAUUGGACAUAGCGAGGCUGUAUUUUCUAGACUUGCUCUGUUUGCUGAAAACCCGAAGAAGCCAGGAAAUUGCUUCCUGUGCCUGAAGUGCACGAGCAAGGCUGGAAAACAGAGCCAAGACACAAACUGUGAAGCAACAGCUCAACCUCCGAGAGCGAGUGGGCUUCGCGCUAUUUCUGGCCAGAGCAGAUGUGGCCUCGGGGGGCUGUGGGGAACAGUAUCCCUCAGGUAAAAAUAAACUCGUACCAUUAGGACCCAAAGGAUGCCGAUUCCUCAUUCCCAAGCAGAUCGUGAACUGGGAGCCCUGUGGGAAGACGACUGGUUUGGGAAUCCGACAGGGUUCUGCCCUGGAUUUCUUCCAGAUUGCGCUACCAAUCGGCCAUCUGGUCUCAACAGCAGUGGUCUCCAGUGAUGCAGGAGUGGUCUCUGGUGAUGCAUGGUGCUGUGGGGACCAGCAGGGCAGCAUGUCAUCCAGUCUGGGGUGCAGGAAUGCUGCCUGGAGGAGCGGAUGCGCCCGAGCGGAGUCUCAGCGGUGGAGCAGAGGUCAUCCAGGUAAGGACACAUCUUGAGGAUAUUCUGGAUUGAGGCAGGAAAGCAAGGAAAAGUGUGGUGUUGGGGAGGAGCCCUGGAAGGCAGCCGGUCAUUCCCCAGCCUAAGGCAUUAAGAGUUGGGGACUGGACGAUGGUGAAGCUGCCUGAGAGGUGAGGCCUGG